This 611-nucleotide ribosomal RNA is filed under the name Ammonia tepida. Its description in RNAcentral is "partial LSU ribosomal RNA". It matches the Rfam family "Eukaryotic large subunit ribosomal RNA", at positions 43 to 400 of the family's 3401-position model. The record is from RNAcentral. Lineage: Eukaryota; Foraminifera; Rotaliida; Rotaliidae.
UCAGUCAGCGCUGAGAAUAAUAGAAACUAACCAGGAUUCCCUUAGUAACGGCGAGUGAACUGGGAUACCAAUAUACCAUCUGUGCGUACUUCGGUGCGUACAAAUUUUAGCCCGUCGAUACUAUCCUAGCAUAGUACUGGCCUCGGCCGGUAACCUAUCUAUGCGGGAAUUGUAGCAUCGUACAACAAAUAUAUUAUACAAUGUAUAUACGCGCAUUGCAACACACACACUUAUAUACUGCGUACACUUACUUUAAACACACAGCGCUCCCGCGUUGGAAAGCAAGUUUAUAUCCUUUUUGGGUAUGCCAUAGAGUGUGACAGCCACGUUUCAACUCUACGUACGCACUGCAUAUGCGUUAUACACACACGUAUUUUAUAUAACCUGAGUCGAGUUAUUUGGGACUAUAGCUCUAAUAGUUUGGUUGGUGGUAAUGACACAUCAAAGGCUAAAUAUUGGUUAGUCGAUGCAUAUUGCGGAGACCGAUAGCAUACAAGUACCGUAAGGGAACGAUGAAAAGCACCCUAUUGAAUUCACGGCGCAGACUGUCUUUGCAAUUCGUUGCGAGACGUCUUGCGCCCAACAACUACAGUGGGAGUGAAAGAGAGAGU